UUGUUUCUUCAUAUCCC
Molecule: microRNA, 17 nt
Filed under: Corchorus capsularis
Lineage: Eukaryota; Viridiplantae; Streptophyta; Magnoliopsida; Malvales; Malvaceae
Description: sRNA CCACVL1_24707
Source: RNAcentral